RNAcentral lists this long non-coding RNA (7943 nucleotides) under Dendronephthya gigantea. RNAcentral describes it as "uncharacterized LOC114532095". The record is from RNAcentral. Lineage: Eukaryota; Metazoa; Cnidaria; Anthozoa; Malacalcyonacea; Nephtheidae.
AUUUGAUAUAAAGGAAAGCAAAAAAUUAUCGAAGAAUACAUAUAUAAUUGGUAGCAGAACCUUCCAGCCGAACUCUGAAUGUUUAGAAAUGGAGGUUUGGUCCGUCAGACCACAGAUAGCGCCCGAUUUAUCUAAUAGCCAGGAUCAUAGUGCUAGGAAACGACAGCUCUUCUGAAACACUGGCGAAGAACAAUCACCCAUCUUUAUACUUAACCCAAGCUCGUCCAAGCAUAUUUUAUGUCCAAUAUUGUGAAGUAAACGUCUUUGGCAGGUGACUUUUGGGGUCUGUUAUCUUUUUUUGGGCAGUUCUCCCAAGGCUGCAUGGGUCACUGGUAUACGACGCAAAUGACCACAUCUGUACUAAAGGGUAUUCGAGAGUUUUUGCAAGAUAUCUUGGUUUUUGUUAGAUGACUUUUGUGUCUGGGAGAUGAUUGAGCCUUUCUUGAAGAUCGUUGGAUGCAAUCUACCGUUUUCCUAAAGCAAAUAUUGUGUUCAGAAGCUUGGGCUAAAUAAUUUGCCAUCGUACCCCCCCUGGCUUAGUCUGUUUAUAGCCGUACGGCUGUUGCCGUCGUCGUCGGUCGUAACAAUUACGCGGGAGUCUCAAGGAUCACCAGGGAUUUCCUGUACAACUCAAUAGAGGCGGUGUCUGGUCAACCGACCAAGUACUCCAUGCUAAUCGGAUAACAAGUGCUUCGCCAGUCAGGGGGCAAAUUAUCGUUUUGAAAUUGGACAGGUUUGGUAAAUCAACACUUCCCAGGCUAUCGAUCGUCACUGCUUUCCCAUACUCAAAAUAUCACACGUCAAAACCUGCAUGUGCGUCUCUGCAUAAAUAGAACGAUUUAAAUUUUUUUCAUAUUUCUAUAAUUGUAAGCGAAUGUUUGGGGGGCAUGACUUUUGACUUUAUUACGAUUUAUUAUAUCAUUUAUAAUUUAGGCUUAUUCUGCCGUAAUUUUCUAACUGCUAUGGCUGUAUAUAGAAACCUUUGACAUCGAUAAUUUAGAGAGAGUUGAAUGAUGUUUAAAUCGUCACUGAUAUAUAUUAAUAUAACACUUAAUAUGAAUAAAAUGCUAGCUAUCUUAUAUACAUGCAUGUGGAGCAAUUAAGUGCGUAUCAUUAUCAUUAGACUAUUUGUGUUGGCAUGAAUAUUUCGUUGGAGCUUAAUCCUCGCGAACGUGCAGACGAUCUGGUAUAUUUUUCUUGGUAUAUUCUACUGUUUUGUGUAACUGAAAAAAAGGUUCUUUCAAACGUCUAGUUUAUUAUGGCUGAGUUAUAUCUGCUAGCCUUUUAAGACGCCUAGUAUAGCUACAUCUCGUUUACAUAUAAAUAUAGUCCGUGAAGUAAAACUAUAUAAAGUAGUUUGUCUGUUCUGUAUAGAGCUUACGAUGAAAGGCGUUCUCAUCCUUGUUCAAUUUAAGUUGUCUAUUCAGGAGAGGGCCGUUCAGAGUUUUAGCUUUGAGUUAUCAAUCGUGCAUGAUGUAUCAUCGGGAAUUAUGAGAAUCGUGCCUUAGUCAGAGUAUAUGGGCUAAUUGGUAUAGUCCUUCCUUCAUAUCAGCCCCCUGUUUCCAUUUCUCUGCAGGGUAUGUGAAAGUAACAAGCGUUAUAUUAUAGUUAACGUACAUAAUUUCACGUUGUUUUAACAAUUUAAUGGCAUGAUUAGACCUCCAACGUGGAAAAUGUGCCACGCUCCAUACCUUGCCUGCAUUUAUGCCACUUGCGUUUGAUAGGCUUAUGAGCUUAUUUAUGAGUGUAAGUCGAGUAUAUUCCGUUUUGACUGACCGAAAUUGCUGCUAUGGUCAAUAGUGUAUUCUGGUCAUACAAUGAUUGGAGAGUUAGAUCUUUCUUUAGAACAUUUUUUAAAAAGAAUUCAACGAUGAAGAAUUUCAAAAAUUGCUUUUGAUAGGGCAUGUGUAUAGGCCUAUUAUUAGCUGUUCAAGUGAAGUAUCGCCGUGGCAACUGCAAAAUAUAAUUUAUUUAUUUUUCUCGAACGUUGCUACAGCAAUACUUGCUUCACGAUUAAUAUGCGGUGUAAAAAAUGUUCAGCUUUAAAUAAAAACUAAAGAAGGGAACAUUUUAAAAAAUUUUGUUUGUUACGUUAAAAAGUACUUCCCGCAGUCAAACAUAUAUCUUGCGAUGCUUUGUACGCCCACUCCUUUGAACUUGCUUUGAACCUGCAUUGAAAAUUGCUUGUCUAAUACACUUCCUUCGACGCCACGCAGCUUCUAGUGAAGCACCUACUUCAGUUAACUACAUCUUGUUGUCAUGACAACCUCGAGUCUAUGCUGAUAAUAACUAAGUCGCUAAAACCUUGCGUCAAUGAGUCAACGAAACACUGCGAUAUAGCUCUGCAAUUAGUAUAAUAGCUCUAAGAAAUUGGUAAAUCGACAUACAUUCGUAAUAAAGAAAAAAAAUCCUGCUGUACUGGUAUAUUUGAUCGUUUUCGCAGGAGUAAUAGUACUGCAUGUAAAGUCUUCUUUGAACAGCCAAGAAUAUAUUCAUAAACCUCGUGAAGUGCAUAAUCAUCACAUUAAUUUUUGCAUGUAAACUGUAUAUUCCGUAUUUAUUAUAGAGUCUUGAAUUAAGGUCUGUUAGGUAAGUUCGGGCACUUUACUAUCGUAUAGUUGUACAUUGUACAAAGACUUAUGUACCAAAUAUAUCGCUAAGCACUGUGCAAUUAAAACCCACAGACAACAGUGGAAGGACUACAAACGAACAUCAGGAACGUCACACUCACAGUUAGAUAGACCUUCUAUUCGCAAAGUCAAAUUCAGGCCGCAUUGUCGACGUGCAUGGCGGGUAAUAGCUAUUAUAUAACUAAUAAGUGCUUUUACACAAUGAAUUCGGUCCAAGAAAGGUCAAUGUAUUUUCUAUUAAGCACAUACAGUAUGGCUUCAUUCAGGCUUGGCGCGACAAUGUCGAUAUUGCAUACGUGUGCAUGUUUAUUGUGCAUGGUGGAGAUGUUAUUGACGGUUCUUUAUACGAUGUUUUUGAAGAGUUGCAUGGCGGUAUUAUAAAGCACACCUCGCACAAAGCGAGGUGUUUUACAGCCAGUAAAUAUAUAUAUGCACCGCAAUCUCCUAAAACACAGGAGUAUAUAUAGUCGUUCGAGGUUGCUUUUUUGUUCAUUAUGAUUUGCUGCAUAUUUCUCACAUGCAGUCACGAUUGUUCACCACCACCACCGAUAUAGAUGAUGGCGACGUCUGUAUAACAUCAACUGUAAUCGCGAUGUUGCUUAAUUAUUUUGAAAAAUUAGAGACGUAGCUGUUCUCAGUUGAUUGCAGUCUGCACUAAAAUGCAGCUGCAUAGUAUAUUCCUGUGUUUAUAGUCAAUACGGAUUAACAUCCUAAGAAUAGAAAUAUAUUGAAAGAUGCGGGUAUGCACGGCGGUACAUUAAUUAGACAGCAAUCUACAGUGUUUGAUCUUUUGUUAUUAGUUAUUAACUCAGAGCUUCACAAUCACAAUAGUUUUCCUGAGUUUUUAAUUAGAAACUCCUACAUCCUAAAAUGAACUAUUUAUGUGUAUUAAACUGUCAGAAAACUCCGGUAUCCUGUUGAUAACCCACGUAGAAAGAAUUUAUUAAGUCAUAUUUGAAGAAUUCGUUUUCUAAAUUUGUAACUUUUCAAAAGAAAUAUUGAGUGGCAUUCAUGUAAUGUUGUGACAAUGACUAAUAAUUAUCAUUCUGAAUAUAGGAUCAUUCACUGCGUGUGCUGAAAUGAACACAUUUUUAGGCUCGAAUAUUAUUGCAAAUGUCAAGUUUUAUGUGAUCUUAGUUUUAACAACUUCGGCAAAAUUCGAAACACGCGAGCUUCUUUGUCGCGUGUCAGAACAACACAACCGCGAGAUAUAUUUCAGUAUCUUUAAUAAUUUGAUGCGGAAUUUGUGGCUGAUCCAAGCUACUCUUGCAUUUUUAAUUUUUUAAAACAAACGAAACAUUAACAAUCACAAUGUUGUGAAUGACAAUACUUGUAUCUGGAACAUUCGACGCGGCAACUAUUGAACACCAUGGCUUAACUAUUUUUAGACGCAGUUUGUCAUUAUUCCGCAGUCUCUUUUGACAUAUUUCCAAAUUAUUGACAUAUAUUGAGUGACCUUAGCGAAGCAAUUAACGCGGUAUUUUGAAAGACCACGGACAGUGGGUGAUCUUUGCGACAAACUACCCUAUAAUAUACACUUAUAGUGUUUACCUAUAACAGUCCUGCUAGUUUACAGGAUAACUAGAUCUCUUCCUUUCAAACACUAUAGAUAUAUAAGCAUUGAAUACCGGAGGUUUUUUAAUAAUGCGCAGGUUUGUUCCAGAAAGCGCCUCGGUAUAUGAAGCUAGUUUUGUGUAUCGAUUAUCACCGAUGUUAGAGUUACCUCGAGGAUUGACGAAUAAAUGAACAAUGCCAGUGAAAUAGUAAAACACAGACUCUCCAUAGCGGAAGCAGUAGAAUUUUAUCCUUCAAAAGCGUAAAAUAUAUACAAAAGAAAGCUCUGGAAGUUUUAAGUUAAGGGCUUUGUAAAGAGCUGAAUUCUCCUAACGAAUGUCCUUGGGUCGAAACGUCUAGAAGGUUUAUUGUAUACAUACUUGUAUAUUAUUUUAAGUUGUUAAAGCAAUUUUACUAUUCCCUGCUUUGUGUAUAUAUGCAUUUCUUGGAGCUGCAUUUUGAACACGGCCAGGAUCUGUGCAUGCAUGCAUGCACCCGAUAAGAAUCGCUUAUCAAUAAGUAUACAACGAUACUUUAUAGGAUUUGAAAGUCUAAAGGUGCAUGCAUUUUUCAUGAUUUCUGUACCAAUUCUAAUAAAUUAAUAGCAAUUAACUCGAGUAAUUUCAUGUUUUGCGUGCUUAAGUUUACCGAAGUAUAUAUAGCCAAGUCCUCUCUAUAGACGUAGCCUACGUACACAAACUAUGUUUGGCUAUAAAAGUAUAGGGAAAGACAGUAGUUCGUGGGGCAUCACAGCAGCUGUUUCAUGCAUAUAAUUAUGAACAAACUCAAAAUACUUUAUUUUUGAAAUAUAUCGAAAUCGAUGUUUCAUUUUACUAUCGUAAUACUUUCAUCAUUCUUUUACAACUAUGCUACAAAUGUUUGGAAUUGUUCAUGUUUUAUUUUUAAUAAUAGUGUAUGUAUUAAUUGUCUUUGGACGAACACCUUCACAACAUGAAACGAAGAUGAAAGGGUUUGAAACAAUAAAGUAUUUGAACAGCACCAUGCAACCCAUUAAUAAUAUGGCUGUUAAAAUGAAAAGGAAAACAAAUUGAAAAGGGCCUCUGUGGUGAAACCCAGCGGUACCCUGUUGUAAAGUACUGUUAUUUACCCCCAGUCAAGAGCUAUCUUAUCCCGAUUAUCCCAUAUUAAUAAGACCAUUAAAAGAUUUUGAUAAAUCGUAUAACCUAUUUUCAUUUGCUUUGAAAUGGAAUGAAACAUAGUGGUAUUAUAGGUAGCUAGAAGAGUUUCACAGGAAGUUAUUCCAAACGGCGUACGUAUAGUGUUUGAACAGCUGCAAGACCAUUGCUAUAAGUGACUUCAUAAUAUAUUAAUUUCAGUAUUUAAGAUAGGUUGGAUAGUUUAAGGGGGAUGACUAGAAAUUUUCUCCCUAUAGAAAUGGUCUGGUUACAUAUAGGUAUUGUUUAGUUAACAUUUCAUCGUACCCAGCUGAUUGCUGGUGAUCUAUGGAAAUACUAAAGACCAAGCAAGCAUGCGUUUUUUCAUUGUAUGCCAUUUUUGAAUAGCAGUAUAAUCAUGGCGCAGGCUGAAUAACAGGGAACUCUUGGGAAAACAGAAACAAUGAUAUAACCCGGCAGCUUUUUAACACUAAAACAUGAAGCGUUUAUACAUGUAUCAUCAGUUAUGACAGGAAAUUGACGCUAUAUUUUUUAUAACCCCAUGCACCAAAAGCUGUUUUAUGCAAAGAAAGAUUUGCUCAAAAGACAGGUGUAGUGGAAUUAUUUCCUCAUUAUUUUCUCAAGAAAAGGCCAAUAUUACAAUACAAAUUAGAAUGCUUUAUUCUUCAUUGUUGAAAAGUUGCAUGUCGGACAAACUUGAAGUUUACUGAAUGGUAAUUAGUCGCAAACUCGUGCGCUUGAAUGCAUAUAUAGCUAUCGCAUUUCAUACAACAGAUUUUUUCAAAAAGCAUAUAUGGCUAUAUGUUUUUCCCAGCCGAAGACAUCAGUUGUUGUUAUUUUUGUUAUGAGAAAAAUCUUUUCAUUCCUCAAAUGUCUGAAUAAAAAAACACAGUAUGACUUUGUCUAAACAACCCUUUAUUGAUGCUUUGUAAAAACAUUCCGGCACGGACGCGAAAUGAGAAAUUUAGCAUUUUGCCCGCACUCCCAAGAUCAACACAUUUAUAAUGUUUGUACAUUAAAUACAAACUUCACACACAAAGGCAUGUUUCCGCAAUAUAUAGGGACAUCAAAUUGAGUGUCAAACUACUGUUAAUUUCUUAACAAGCAAUCAAAUUUUAAUUUAUUUACUUUAAGGGCAAUUUAUCCUAUGCUAUGUAUACACGAUCGCGUAAUAGCUCUAAAUCUAUUUCAGCUAGACCUUGCAUGCGAGAAUAUAAUUCCCUUCAUCGCUAAAAAGUUAGAAUAGUUUUCGCAUUCUAAGAUGAUAAUCUUUUGUGUUUAUACAGCAACAACAAAGAUAUUAUCCUUCAAUCGGUCCAAAUGAAUGGCUGGCUAGUAUUUAAUUGCAUGAUAUUCAAAACUGGUGACAACAUAAACGAAAUCGCAAUAUUGUAGGAACUAGAAAACAUGGAAACGAAAUAUUCUUGUGAUGAAUAUUACAUACAAAUAUUCCAAUGCUUGAGCAAACAUUAGAAGCAGAAAUAACAACUUAUUUAAUAGGCGGUAACUGUCAAUAGCAACAAAAUCCGAUUAAUCCACAUCAUUAAGACGAAGUUUAUUAUCAUUUGGGAUUAGUUAUGAGGUUAGUCUAUUGCGCUAUAUCCUGUUUUCUACGCAUUAAAAAUAGACAUGAAUCCAAUAAUCAACGCGGAGACUCGCGGUUAUAUGGUCUCGCACGGAAAAAGUCAUAUACCCAGUCGUUGAUAUUGCGGCCCGUGAAAACAUCAAAACUCGCAAAUCAAACACUGUUUGUUCAUUACACUUUUUUACAGAGGCGUGAUUAAUUUAUACCUGCCAGUUGGCAACAUUUCGAUAUAAACUUGCUCGUGCUGCGAAUUGUAGGAAUGAAUCAAGAACUAUGUGGAGAUAUAAGAUCAAGCAGAUUUUGAAUGUGGCCCUGGGUGACAUUUUGCAUACAAAUUGAUUUGAUAAGUCACACAUGCAUGCAUGUGUACGGCAUAUUUUGUUUGGCUACAACGUAUCCAUGCAAACUGUUUGCGACAACCCUUAAUUGAAAUGAAUUUAGAAGUACAUAUGACUUUUCGAUAGGCCGCUGGUAUAUUUUCUGUAUAAACAUAAUUUGUUAUUUAUACUAUGUUAUAUAUGAGUGUUUGAUCGACUCAUGUUUAUAUUCCAUAUACUGCGGUCGGUAUACAACCGGAAAUACAGCGGUGUUGGUGAAACCCAUUGCCGCUACUUUAAGAUUUCAUCACUAGAGAUCAAUCAGUACACAUGAAUGAGUGUUGAAUGAUGAGAGGUGCUUAUACCCAGCCAAGUAAGCCAUCAACAUAUAUUCCGUCAUAUGAUUUAACAGAUUGUUCUGAAUAUAUGCUUGGAAAACAAUUACCGUUUACUAAUUAGCGAUAUUCGCAACACAAGUUUGGACCAGCCAAGCGCUAUAUAGAUCGAUGCAUGGAUUAGUUUGUGACAUGCUGUUGGGAAAUUCUGAAUAGUAUAUUAAACAAUUGAAUUUUACAUUACCUAUUUUGCCCCAAUCCGGCCUACGACAGAUAGCUAAAUACAGUGAUGUAUGUGCUUCCUGCAGCAAAUGAUCAGUUUUUUUGAAGUUCUGAAUAGAAAAGAUGAAAUUAACAGAUAUCAUCGUAUUUUUGUGGCCUAUCUA